This 507-nucleotide ribosomal RNA is filed under the name uncultured bacterium. RNAcentral's name for it is "bacterial SSU rRNA". It matches the Rfam family "Bacterial small subunit ribosomal RNA", at positions 562 to 1071 of the family's 1533-position model. The record is from RNAcentral.
AAAGGGAGCGUAGGCCGUGGAUUAAGCGUGUUGUGAAAUGUAGACGCUCAACGUCUGACUUGCAGCGCGAACUGGUCCACUUGAGUGUGCACAACGUAGGCGGAAUUCGUCGUGUAGCGGUGAAAUGCUUAGAUAUGACGAAGAACCCCGAUUGCGAAGGCAGCUUGCGGGAGCACGACUGACGCUGAGGCUCGAAAGUGCGGGUAUCGAACAGGAUUAGAUACCCUGGUAGUCCGCACGGUAAACGAUGGAUGCCCGUUGUCAGGUUAUUUUAGUCUGGUGACCAAGCGAAAGCAUUAAGCAUCCCACCUGGGGAGUACGCCGGCAACGGUGAAACUCAAAGGAAUUGACGGGGGCCCGCACAAGCGGAGGAACAUGUGGUUUAAUUCGAUGAUACGCGAGGAACCUUACCCGGGCUUGAAUUGCAGACGAACGAUUCAGAGAUGAAGAGGCCUUUCGGGGCGUCUGUGAAGGUGCUGCAUGGUUGUCGUCAGCUCGUGUCGUGAG